CAUACAUAUACUACACCAUUAUAUAGAGAAUAGAUACCAGAUAGACACAACGUACAUAUAGAAAUACACAGAAAAAUCUCACUUAGGAUUCUUAGGCAUGCUUCACAACUCAUUCAAUUGAAGCUUUGUUUUGGGUAAAUUAAAAUCCAAAUGGUCUGGUCCCUAUAAAUUUAGCCAAGUCUACUCAUCUGGAGUAGUGGAACUCGAAGAUGAAGAUGGGAAUAUCUUUAAGGUGAAUGGAUAUAGACUAAAACUAUAUCUUGGCCCAACGGACUAAAUAAAGUGUAUAGCUAGUGUAUAUCUCAAUGAAGUAUAAGUAAUUGAGAUAUCUGAGUCGUACGGCGACGUUAAGUCAUGCGCUACAUGGGAGGAAACUCAUGAUCCUCGUGCUUGAUCUACUCCAGAUGUAGUCAAGAUGGGAGGAAACGAAAGACAAAAAAGCAAAAGAGAUAAAUUUAGAGCAAAAAGGAAAAGAAAAAAAAGCUGACGACAUUUGUGAUAAGUCAUCAACUUUGUGAUAGUUUAUCAAAAAUAUCGUCAAGUGUUACAGUGUUAGAAAAAUUGAAGUGAAGAUGUGAUGACAUUUUUGAUAUGUCAUCACAACCCUGAUAAGGCAUCAGAGAUGUUGUCAGGCUUAGGCAACGAAUGGAAUUUUGAGUAAAGAAGUGACGACAAUUAUGAUAAGUCAUCAUAAGUCUGAUAUGUCAUCAGAAAUGCCGUCAACCUAAGACAGAGAUUAUUAAAGUUAAAGAAGAUCUGGCAAGAUUUGUGAUAAGUCAUUAGAUCUCUAAUAAGCCAUCACAAAUGAUGUCACUUGUUCGAGCAAAAGCUGCAACUUGAAGAUUUGUUUCCACAUUUGGCUUUUGUUAUUUAAGGAACAGUCUUUAGGUUUUCAUUAUCGAAUCUUGCACUGAUCAUCCAUAAAUUUUUGUGCGAGUUUUCUCUGUAACUUUAACUAUUAGCUUUUGAGAAACUUACACUAUUUUUUGUAGGAUUCUUUUGAGAUCUAAUCCAAGAAACAAUUGUUGCUAUACGUUUUAUUGUAAGUUCAUCUAACUACAUCAUGAAUUCAAAUUGUUAUCUUUUUCUUU
This is a long non-coding RNA of Capsicum annuum, 1091 nucleotides long. RefSeq lists it as uncharacterized. The record is from RefSeq and is a predicted model, not a curated record. The transcript has 3 exons. Lineage: Eukaryota; Viridiplantae; Streptophyta; Magnoliopsida; Solanales; Solanaceae.